RNAcentral lists this transfer RNA (63 nucleotides) under Thalassiosira oceanica. It matches the Rfam family "tRNA". Rfam says of the family: Transfer RNA (tRNA) molecules are approximately 80 nucleotides in length. Lineage: Eukaryota; Bacillariophyta; Thalassiosirophyceae; Thalassiosirales; Thalassiosiraceae. The record is from Rfam by way of RNAcentral.
UGCUUGCUGGCGAGUGUUGGGCUCAAAACCCAAAGGUCGUAAGAUCAAAACCUACGCGAGCAA